UACGGGAGGCAGCAGUGGGGAAUAUUGCACAAUGGGCGAAAGCCUGAUGCAGCUAUGCCGCGUGUAUGAAGAAGGCCUUAGGGUUGUAAAGUACUUUCAUCGGGGAGGAAAAAACAAAACUAAUAAUUUUAUUUCUUGACGUUACCCGAAAAAGAAGCACCGGCUAACUCCGUGCCAGCAGCCGCGGUAAUACGGAGGGUGCUAGCGUUAAUCAGAAUUACUGGGCGUAAAGAGCACGUAGGUGGUUUUUUUAAGUCAGAUGUGAAAUCCCUGGGCUUAACCUAGGAACUGCAUUUUGAAACUGAAAUACUAGAGUAUCGUAGAGGGAGGUAGAAUUCUAGGUGUAGCGGUGAAAUGCGUAGAUAUCUGGAGGAAUACCUGUGGCGAAAGCGGCCUCCUAAACGAAUACUGACACUGAGGUGCGAAAGCGUGGGGAGCAAACAGGGAUUAGAUACCUU
RNAcentral lists this ribosomal RNA (458 nucleotides) under uncultured bacterium. RNAcentral's name for it is "bacterial SSU rRNA". It matches the Rfam family "Bacterial small subunit ribosomal RNA", at positions 340 to 788 of the family's 1533-position model. The record is from RNAcentral.